RNAcentral lists this ribosomal RNA (492 nucleotides) under uncultured bacterium. RNAcentral's name for it is "partial 16S ribosomal RNA". It matches the Rfam family "Bacterial small subunit ribosomal RNA", at positions 28 to 507 of the family's 1533-position model. The record is from RNAcentral.
GGUGAACGCUGGCGGUAGGCCUAACACAUGCAAGUCGAACGGCAGCACAGUAAGAGCUUGCUCUUACGGGUGGCGAGUGGCGGACGGGUGAGGAAUACAUCGGAAUCUACUUUUUCGUGGGGGAUAACGUAGGGAAACUUACGCUAAUACCGCAUACGACCUACGGGUGAAAGCAGGGGAUCUUCGGACCUUGCGCGAUUGAAUGAGCCGAUGUCGGAUUAGCUAGUUGGCGGGGUAAAGGCCCACCAAGGCGACGAUCCGUAGCUGGUCUGAGAGGAUGAUGAGCCACACUGGAACUGAGCCACGGUCCAGACUCCUACGGGAGGCAGCAGUGGGGAAUAUUGGACAAUGGGCGCAAGCCUGAUCCAGCCAUGCCGCGUGGGUGAAGAAGGCCUUCGGGUUGUAAAGCCCUUUUGUUGGGAAAGAAAAGCAGCAGGUUAAUACCCCGCUGUUCUGACGGUACCCAAAGAAUAAGCACCGGCUAACUUCGUG